Molecule: small nuclear RNA, 60 nt
Organism: Otolemur garnettii (small-eared galago)
Lineage: Eukaryota; Metazoa; Chordata; Mammalia; Primates; Galagidae
Gene: U7
Rfam family: U7 small nuclear RNA
About the family: Animal histone pre-mRNAs are spliced by a different mechanism than nuclear pre-mRNAs and self-splicing introns.
Source: Ensembl
CAGUGUUACAGCUUUUAGAAUUUCUCUAGCAGGUUUUCCAGUCCUUACCAGAAAACCCCC